UAUUUUAGUCUCUGUCCUUUGGUGCUCGUUAGGGGAAUAUAUAUAGAGAGGUUGUUCAAGAUUAAAACUGAAACAGAGUUUCAAUCCUGUGUGAUGCCUUGCUUGUGUGAAACACAACAAGAACACACGUUCGGGUUUCUAUUUAUUUUCAGAGUGAACUGAAAGAAAAUUGCACCAUGUGCACCGGCUUCGCCAACCGACCACGUGGGGUGGCAAGGACACAAGAAAAGGAGACUGACCAAAUGGGGGAUAGUUGCUGAUCGGUUCAUACAACCUUGCUGAUUCUGAAGAACAAAGCAACAAUCACGAGCCUCAAGAUGGAUGCCAAGUGGCUGCUGGUUAAGUCAGCAGUGAUGGCACCUGUUUGGUGAUGUAGCUAUAGAUGGAAUGUCUUGCUUUAGAUCAUCUGUUCUUGUCCAUGAGGAUGUUUAGGAAGUGAACUCUGAAUGAAAACUAAAGCUUCACUGACCGUCAUUCUAGUUAUCUACAAACUAGAGGGCUGUUUCACAAAACCAGGAUAGCAGAAUAAGCUGGGAUUUUCUAGAUAUCCUGUUUUAAACCUCAAUUCAGUGUUACAAAAGAAAUAUCACACAAGUUACCAUUGUGAUUUAUGCUCCAGACCAGGCGAGCAGCCAUGCUUAGUUAAGCCAGGAACAUUAUCUGUUCAGUCAGCAGUCAUAGUAGUCAGAAACCAAGGAGUUUUUUUUAUGAUUAUCUGCAUGAAUUGUUUUUUUUUUUUUAACGACCCUGCAUUAAGACACCUGUAAUUCAUUUUGGUAUUCAGUCAGGUACUAUUAUUUUUAAAGUGUACCAUUAGAAAACACAAUUAGCAAUUUUAAAAUGACCCAUACAGACUCCUGUACGGGAGCGUGCCAUUGACAUGUUGGAUGUAGGACGUGCACCAGAGCAGAAGCUGCACGGCUCAUAACAGUCAUGAAAGAAUUCACUGUCAGCUGAACAUGUUAUAAUAUUGACUUCCACUGUUCAUUGAUUAGGUUAUAGUUUUCUUCAUUUCUGAAAAUCUCAAAUAUGGGUUAGUUAUGUUUAGUUAAGAAUAGUUUGGAAAUAUAUAUUUUAGGCUAAUUAUGUAUUCAAGUGAUCUGCUGUUGUUUACUCUUGUAGUGGCAAUGUUUUUUUGUAUGAUGUACUUCAAUUCCUCAUAAACUUCAAUAAAAAAAUGUUUGGUGUGA
This is a long non-coding RNA of Poeciliopsis prolifica (blackstripe livebearer), 1190 nucleotides long. RefSeq lists it as uncharacterized. Lineage: Eukaryota; Metazoa; Chordata; Actinopteri; Cyprinodontiformes; Poeciliidae. The transcript has 5 exons. The record is from RefSeq and is a predicted model, not a curated record.